RNAcentral lists this ribosomal RNA (2354 nucleotides) under Escherichia coli. RNAcentral's name for it is "bacterial LSU rRNA". It matches the Rfam family "Bacterial large subunit ribosomal RNA", at positions 591 to 2925 of the family's 2925-position model. The record is from RNAcentral. Lineage: Bacteria; Pseudomonadati; Pseudomonadota; Gammaproteobacteria; Enterobacterales; Enterobacteriaceae.
GUGUGACUGCGUACCUUUUGUAUAAUGGGUCAGCGACUUAUAUUCUGUAGCAAGGUUAACCGAAUAGGGGAGCCGAAGGGAAACCGAGUCUUAACUGGGCGUUAAGUUGCAGGGUAUAGACCCGAAACCCGGUGAUCUAGCCAUGGGCAGGUUGAAGGUUGGGUAACACUAACUGGAGGACCGAACCGACUAAUGUUGAAAAAUUAGCGGAUGACUUGUGGCUGGGGGUGAAAGGCCAAUCAAACCGGGAGAUAGCUGGUUCUCCCCGAAAGCUAUUUAGGUAGCGCCUCGUGAAUUCAUCUCCGGGGGUAGAGCACUGUUUCGGCAAGGGGGUCAUCCCGACUUACCAACCCGAUGCAAACUGCGAAUACCGGAGAAUGUUAUCACGGGAGACACACGGCGGGUGCUAACGUCCGUCGUGAAGAGGGAAACAACCCAGACCGCCAGCUAAGGUCCCAAAGUCAUGGUUAAGUGGGAAACGAUGUGGGAAGGCCCAGACAGCCAGGAUGUUGGCUUAGAAGCAGCCAUCAUUUAAAGAAAGCGUAAUAGCUCACUGGUCGAGUCGGCCUGCGCGGAAGAUGUAACGGGGCUAAACCAUGCACCGAAGCUGCGGCAGCGACGCUUAUGCGUUGUUGGGUAGGGGAGCGUUCUGUAAGCCUGCGAAGGUGUGCUGUGAGGCAUGCUGGAGGUAUCAGAAGUGCGAAUGCUGACAUAAGUAACGAUAAAGCGGGUGAAAAGCCCGCUCGCCGGAAGACCAAGGGUUCCUGUCCAACGUUAAUCGGGGCAGGGUGAGUCGACCCCUAAGGCGAGGCCGAAAGGCGUAGUCGAUGGGAAACAGGUUAAUAUUCCUGUACUUGGUGUUACUGCGAAGGGGGGACGGAGAAGGCUAUGUUGGCCGGGCGACGGUUGUCCCGGUUUAAGCGUGUAGGCUGGUUUUCCAGGCAAAUCCGGAAAAUCAAGGCUGAGGCGUGAUGACGAGGCACUACGGUGCUGAAGCAACAAAUGCCCUGCUUCCAGGAAAAGCCUCUAAGCAUCAGGUAACAUCAAAUCGUACCCCAAACCGACACAGGUGGUCAGGUAGAGAAUACCAAGGCGCUUGAGAGAACUCGGGUGAAGGAACUAGGCAAAAUGGUGCCGUAACUUCGGGAGAAGGCACGCUGAUAUGUAGGUGAAGUCCCUCGCGGAUGGAGCUGAAAUCAGUCGAAGAUACCAGCUGGCUGCAACUGUUUAUUAAAAACACAGCACUGUGCAAACACGAAAGUGGACGUAUACGGUGUGACGCCUGCCCGGUGCCGGAAGGUUAAUUGAUGGGGUCAGCGCAAGCGAAGCUCUUGAUCGAAGCCCCGGUAAACGGCGGCCGUAACUAUAACGGUCCUAAGGUAGCGAAAUUCCUUGUCGGGUAAGUUCCGACCUGCACGAAUGGCGUAAUGAUGGCCAGGCUGUCUCCACCCGAGACUCAGUGAAAUUGAACUCGCUGUGAAGAUGCAGUGUACCCGCGGCAAGACGGAAAGACCCCGUGAACCUUUACUAUAGCUUGACACUGAACAUUGAGCCUUGAUGUGUAGGAUAGGUGGGAGGCUUUGAAGUGUGGACGCCAGUCUGCAUGGAGCCGACCUUGAAAUACCACCCUUUAAUGUUUGAUGUUCUAACGUUGACCCGUGAUCCGGGUUGCGGACAGUGUCUGGUGGGUAGUUUGACUGGGGCGGUCUCCUCCUAAAGAGUAACGGAGGAGCACGAAGGUUGGCUAAUCCUGGUCGGACAUCAGGAGGUUAGUGCAAUGGCAUAAGCCAGCUUGACUGCGAGCGUGACGGCGCGAGCAGGUGCGAAAGCAGGUCAUAGUGAUCCGGUGGUUCUGAAUGGAAGGGCCAUCGCUCAACGGAUAAAAGGUACUCCGGGGAUAACAGGCUGAUACCGCCCAAGAGUUCAUAUCGACGGCGGUGUUUGGCACCUCGAUGUCGGCUCAUCACAUCCUGGGGCUGAAGUAGGUCCCAAGGGUAUGGCUGUUCGCCAUUUAAAGUGGUACGCGAGCUGGGUUUAGAACGUCGUGAGACAGUUCGGUCCCUAUCUGCCGUGGGCGCUGGAGAACUGAGGGGGGCUGCUCCUAGUACGAGAGGACCGGAGUGGACGCAUCACUGGUGUUCGGGUUGUCAUGCCAAUGGCACUGCCCGGUAGCUAAAUGCGGAAGAGAUAAGUGCUGAAAGCAUCUAAGCACGAAACUUGCCCCGAGAUGAGUUCUCCCUGACUCCUUGAGAGUCCUGAAGGAACGUUGAAGACGACGACGUUGAUAGGCCGGGUGUGUAAGCGCAGCGAUGCGUUGAGCUAACCGGUACUAAUGAACCGUGAGGCUUAACCUU